UUUUAAACUUGAUAUUGUUGCUUUUACCUGAUUACCAAAUAGCUGUAUACAGUCACUUGAUAUGAGGCUGGUAAUGAUUCUUUCUACUUUCGAUCAGGAGGGAUACACACCUGUUAAUAUCAUUUUUAUUUCUCAUUGUUUUGA
Molecule: long non-coding RNA, 144 nt
Organism: Populus euphratica (Euphrates poplar)
Lineage: Eukaryota; Viridiplantae; Streptophyta; Magnoliopsida; Malpighiales; Salicaceae
Exons: 3
Source: RefSeq, a predicted model, not a curated record